CAUCUUAGUACCUUUCACAAAUUUUAGCAGACUUUUCUUUCUUUCUUGUCAAAUAUUAAAAGUUUAGGAUUCUAACUCCAAAAACUGGUUUUGCAAAACAUUACCCAAACUUUUAUGACUGUGUGAGGAUAAAUUCACUUAGUUUUUGUUAUGCACCUCACGCUACUGCCCUUCCCACUUCCAUUUGGUGUACCUGAUUUUCUAUCUUUUCACAUAAAUGUGAGAGCCAGUGUUUCUUCUGAAAAAAUAAUAAUCAAAAAAUGCUUUUGAGCUAUUUUGUUAUUUUAAAUCCAGAAGUGGUAAUGGAAGAAUUUAGUUAUCAAUUUUACUGUUUUCCUCACAGUUAGUAAAGGAAAACUGUGACUUCCUUGCUUCACCUAUCAUUAUGGAAAUUGGCUGUUUUUGCCUGGUAGAGAAAUUAGGAGCUCCAGGCUCCUCCAGGAUUCUGCCAGCACCACCCUGACUCAUCACCUGGGGCUCCCUGAAGAGAGACAGAGCAGAGAGAAUCCCCAGAGAGUGUCUUCUAACACACUUUCUGGAACCCCCGUGCCUUCCACUGUGAAGAUGAGAUUGUGUUGCCACACAAAAUAUUCUAAGCAUUUUAAUGAAGUUGAAUUCCAGGGAAUUAAAACAGGUAGAUGAUAUAGAGCAUUUCUUCCAUGAAAUGAAAGAUAAAAGGGUCACUGUGAAACUCUAGGACGUGGGUAAGUAGUGUCUGACUAAUGCUGAUUCAAUCAACUUGGGAGCUCAAAUUUUAUCUUCAGAAAUAAGUGAGACAAUAAUGGAAAAAUCCAUAGACAGAGAGAUGAAGAGGAGAGAGUAGUGACAGGCCGGCGAGUGAUACUGAUAAUGGCACAUAAAGUCCCUAUGAUGACUACGUCCAAACUGGAAGGUAUUUUAUAGACCAUCCAGGCCAAGUUCUUUAUUCUAUAAAUGGGAAAAUAAAACCCAGAAUAAUUAAAGUGGUAGGAACUUACGGUGUUUUGGAUGAAUUCUUGUUACAUUCCUCUGAUUGGUCUAGAACCCUUUAGAGAGUUCAAAGGAUCCUUCUGUCUCAGCCUCCUGAGUAGCCGAGACUAUAGGUACACAUCCCUGUACCUAGCUUUGGCUUGAUGUUUUUAAUGUUGUCAUUUAAUUUGACAUCAGAAAAACUAAAAGAUGCACAGCAACUCUUAGAAUCUCCAUGACUUUUG
Molecule: long non-coding RNA, 1193 nt
Organism: Heterocephalus glaber (naked mole-rat)
Lineage: Eukaryota; Metazoa; Chordata; Mammalia; Rodentia; Bathyergidae
Source: Ensembl